Molecule: transfer RNA, 74 nt
Filed under: Solirubrobacterales bacterium
Lineage: Bacteria; Bacillati; Actinomycetota; Thermoleophilia; Solirubrobacterales
Also listed under: 2 other names
Description: tRNA-Arg
Rfam family: tRNA
About the family: Transfer RNA (tRNA) molecules are approximately 80 nucleotides in length. Their secondary structure includes four short double-helical elements and three loops (D, anti-codon, and T loops).
Source: RNAcentral
GCCCCGAUAGCUCAGAUGGAUAGAGCGCUUCCCUCCUAAGGAAGAGGCCGCUGGUUCGACUCCAGCUCGGGGCA